RNAcentral lists this ribosomal RNA (839 nucleotides) under Paraclostridium benzoelyticum. RNAcentral describes it as "bacterial SSU rRNA". It matches the Rfam family "Bacterial small subunit ribosomal RNA", at positions 9 to 873 of the family's 1533-position model. Lineage: Bacteria; Bacillati; Bacillota; Clostridia; Peptostreptococcales; Peptostreptococcaceae. The record is from RNAcentral.
UCUAGAAUUUUUUUUUUCUGCUCAGGAUGAACGCUGGCGGCGUGCCUAACACAUGCAAGUCGAGCGAUCUCUUCGGAGAGAGCGGCGGACGGGUGAGUAACGCGUGGGUAACCUGCCCUGUACACACGGAUAACAUACCGAAAGGUAUACUAAUACGGGAUAACAUACGAAAGUCGCAUGGCUUUUGUAUCAAAGCUCCGGCGGUACAGGAUGGACCCGCGUCUGAUUAGCUAGUUGGUAAGGUAAUGGCUUACCAAGGCAACGAUCAGUAGCCGACCUGAGAGGGUGAUCGGCCACACUGGAACUGAGACACGGUCCAGACUCCUACGGGAGGCAGCAGUGGGGAAUAUUGCACAAUGGGCGAAAGCCUGAUGCAGCAACGCCGCGUGAGCGAUGAAGGCCUUCGGGUCGUAAAGCUCUGUCCUCAAGGAAGAUAAUGACGGUACUUGAGGAGGAAGCCCCGGCUAACUACGUGCCAGCAGCCGCGGUAAUACGUAGGGGGCUAGCGUUAUCCGGAAUUACUGGGCGUAAAGGGUGCGUAGGUGGUUUUUUAAGUCAGAAGUGAAAGGCUACGGCUCAACCGUAGUAAGCUUUUGAAACUAGAGAACUAGAGUGCAGGAGAGGAGAGUAGAAUUCCUAGUGUAGCGGUGAAAUGCGUAGAUAUUAGGAGGAAUACCAGUAGCGAAGGCGGCUCUCUGGACUGUAACUGACACUGAGGCACGAAAGCGUGGGGAGCAAACAGGAUUAGAUACCCUGGUAGUCCACGCCGUAAACGAAGAGUACUAGGUGUCGGGGGUUACCCCCCUCGGUGCCGCAGCUAACGCAUUAAGACUCCGCCG